RNAcentral lists this ribosomal RNA (1237 nucleotides) under metagenome. Its description in RNAcentral is "bacterial LSU rRNA". It matches the Rfam family "Bacterial large subunit ribosomal RNA", at positions 1564 to 2808 of the family's 2925-position model. The record is from RNAcentral.
UGAGUACGAGACGCUAAGGCGUUGAAGCAGUCUAUGUCAGACUUCCAAGAAAAGCUCGCAAUGUCAUAAACAAAAGAUGCCUGUACCAUAACCGACACAGGUGGGUAGGUAGAGUAUACUAAGGGGCGCGAGAUAACUCUCUCUAAGGAACUCGGCAAAAUGACUCCGUAACUUCGGGAGAAGGAGUGCCUUAUUUUUAUAAGGUUGCAAUAACAAGAUCCAAGCAACUGUUUACCAAAAACACAGGUCUCCGCUAAGUCGUAAGACGAUGUAUGGGGGCUGACGCCUGCCCAGUGCCAGAAGGUUAAAGAAGUUGGUUAGUUUCGGCGAAGCUGAUGACUGAAGCCCUGGUGAACGGCGGCCGUAACAAUAACGGUCCUAAGGUAGCGAAAUUCCUUGUCGGGUAAGUUCCGACCCGCACGAAAGGCGUAAUGAUUUGGAUACUGUCUCGGAGAGGGGCUCGGUGAAAUAGACUUGUCUGUGAAGAUGCGGACUACCUGCACCUGGACAGAAAGACCCUAUGAAGCUUUACUGUAACUUGAGAUUGAAAUUGGACUUUAUUUGCGCAGUAUAGGUGGGAGACGUUGAGAAUAUUCUUGCGGGAAUAUUGGAGUCAUCAGUGAGAUACCACUCUUGUAAUGUUAGAUUUCUAACUUUGUAUCAUGAUCUGGUCAAAGGACAGUUUCAGGCGGGCAGUUUGACUGGGGCGGUCGCCUCCCAAACGGUAACGGAGGCGCACAAAGGUUUCCUCUGAACGUGUAGAAAUCGUAUCUAGAGUGUAAAGGCAUAAGGAAGCUUGACUGUGAGACCUACAAGUCGAGCAGGGACGAAAGUCGGUCUUAGUGAUCUGACGGUGCUGAGUGGAAAGGCCGUCACUCAACGGAUAUAAGUUACUCUAAGGAUAACAGGCUGAUCUCCCCCAAGAGUUCACAUCGACGGGGAGGUUUGGCACCUCGAUGUCGGCUCAUCGCAUCCUGGGGCGGUAGUACGUCCCAAGGGUUGGGCUGUUCGCCCAUGAAAGCGGUACGCGAGCUGGGUUCAGAACGUCGUGAGACAGUUCGGUCCAUAUCCGGUGUAGGCGUUAGAAUAUUGAGAGGAGCCUUCUUUAGUACGAGAGGACCGAGAAGGACAUACCUCUGGUGUACCAGUUAUCGUGCCAACGGUAAACGCUGGGUAGCUAUGUAUGGAGUGGAUAACCGCUGAAAGCAUCUAAGUGGGAAGCCCACCUCAAGAUAAG